This 1182-nucleotide ribosomal RNA is filed under the name Siphula caracassana. RNAcentral's name for it is "SSU rRNA". It matches the Rfam family "Eukaryotic small subunit ribosomal RNA", at positions 91 to 1283 of the family's 1831-position model. Lineage: Eukaryota; Fungi; Ascomycota; Lecanoromycetes; Pertusariales; Icmadophilaceae. The record is from RNAcentral.
GAAUGGCUCAUUAAAUCAGUUAUCGUUUAUUUGAUAGUACCUCACUACCUGGAUAACCGUGGUAAUUCUAGAGCUAAUACAUGCUAAAAACCUCGACUUCGGAAGGGGUGUAUUUAUUAGAUAAAAAGCCAACGCCCUCCGGGGCUUUCUGGUGAUUCAUAAUAACUCAACGAAUCGCAUGGCCUUGCGCCGGCGAUGGUUCAUUCAAAUUUCUGCCCUAUCAACUUUCGAUUGUUGGGUAGUGGCCAACAAUGGUGUUUACGGGUAACGGGGAAUUAGGGUUCUAUUCCGGAGAGGGAGCCUGAGAAACGGCUACCACAUCCAAGGAAGGCAGCAGGCGCGCAAAUUAUCCAAUCCCGACACGGGGAGAUAGUGACAAUAAAUACUGAUCUGGGGGUCUUUAGGCUCUCAGAAUUGGAAUGAGAACAAUUUAAAUCCCUUAACGAGGAACAAUUGGAGGGCAAGUCUGGUGCCAGCAGCCGCGGUAAUUCCAGCUCCAAUAGCGUAUAUUAAAUUUGUUGCAGUUAAAAAGCUCGUCGUUGAAACUUGGAUCUGGUCGGUCGGUCCGCCUUAUCGCGUGCACUGAUUCGACCGGAUCUUUCCUUCUGGGGAAGCGCAUGCCCUUUAUUGGGCGUGUCGGGGAACCAGGACUUUUACUUUGAAAAAAUUAGAGUGUUCAAAGCAGGCCUAUGCUCGAAUACAUUAGCAUGGAAUAAUGGAAUAGNACGUGUGGUUCUAUUUUGUUGGUUUCUAGGACCGCCGAAUGAUUAAUAGGGAUAGUCGGGGGCAUCAGUAUUCCGUUGUCAGAGGUGAAAUUCUUGGAUUUACGGAAGACUAACUACUGCGAAAGCAUUUGCCAAGGAUGUUUUCAUUAAUCAGUGAACGAAAGUUAGGGGAUCGAAGACGAUCAGAUACCGUCGUAGUCUUAACCAUAAACUAUGCCGACUAGGGAUCGGGCGGUGUUAUUAUUUUGACCCGCUCGGCACCUUACGAGAAAUCAAAGUUUUUGGGUUCUGGGGGGAGUAUGGUCGCAAGGCUGAAACUUAAAGAAAUUGACGGAAAGGCACCACCAGGAGUGAACCUGCGGCUUAAUUUGACUCAACACGGGGAAACUCACCAGGUCCAGACACAAUGAGGAUUGACAGAUUGAGAGCUCUUUCUUGAUUUUGUGGGUGGUGGUGC